CAGUAGCCGCGGUAAUACGAAGGGGGCUAGCGUUGUUCGGAAUCACUGGGCGUAAAGGGUGCGUAGGCGGAUUCUUAAGUCAGGGGUGAAAUCCCGAGGCUCAACCUCGGAACUGCCUUUGAUACUGGGGAUCUUGAGUCCGGAAGAGGUGAGUGGAACUGCGAGUGUAGAGGUGAAAUUCGUAGAUAUUCGCAAGAACACCGGUGGCGAAGGCGGCUCACUGGUCCGGAACUGAUGCUGAGGCACGACAGCGUGGGGAGCAAACAGGAUUAGAUACCCCCGUAGUCCCUGUCUCUUAUAC
RNAcentral lists this ribosomal RNA (301 nucleotides) under uncultured bacterium. Its description in RNAcentral is "partial 16S ribosomal RNA". It matches the Rfam family "Bacterial small subunit ribosomal RNA", at positions 509 to 807 of the family's 1533-position model. The record is from RNAcentral.